This 73-nucleotide transfer RNA is filed under the name Aphanotorulus emarginatus. RNAcentral's name for it is "tRNA-Thr". It matches the Rfam family "tRNA". Rfam says of the family: Transfer RNA (tRNA) molecules are approximately 80 nucleotides in length. The record is from RNAcentral. Lineage: Eukaryota; Metazoa; Chordata; Actinopteri; Siluriformes; Loricariidae.
GCCCUAGUAGCUUAGUACUUAAAGCAUCGGUCUUGUAAUCCGGAGAUUGAAGGUUAAAAUCCUUCCUAGUGCC